CCUACGGGAGGCAGCAGUGGGGAAUCUUGCGCAAUGGGCGAAAGCCUGACGCAGCAACGCCGCGUGAACGAUGAAGGCCUUCGGGUCGUAAAGUUCUGUCAGGGGGGACGAAGAUGUGACGUACGCACGACGAUCC
RNAcentral lists this ribosomal RNA (136 nucleotides) under bacterium. Its description in RNAcentral is "partial 16S ribosomal RNA". It matches the Rfam family "Bacterial small subunit ribosomal RNA", at positions 338 to 478 of the family's 1533-position model. The record is from RNAcentral.